RNAcentral lists this non-coding RNA (277 nucleotides) under Magnaporthiopsis poae ATCC 64411. RNAcentral describes it as "Magnaporthe poae ATCC 64411 Eukaryotic small subunit ribosomal RNA". It matches the Rfam family "Eukaryotic small subunit ribosomal RNA", at positions 57 to 289 of the family's 1831-position model. Lineage: Eukaryota; Fungi; Ascomycota; Sordariomycetes; Magnaporthales; Magnaporthaceae. The record is from Rfam by way of RNAcentral.
GUCUAAGUAUAAGCGAUUAUACGGCGAAACUACGAAUGGCUCGUUAAAUCGGUUAUCGUUUAUUUGAUAGUACCUUACUACAUGGAUAACCGUGGUAAUUCUAGAGUUAAUACAUGCUGAAAACCCCGACUUCGGAAGGGGUGUAUUUACCAUCACUCGCCCCAACGGCGACGGCACGCCUGUUGUCUGCGGCAGCCUUCAGCCGUUCUACAGUCAUGGCGAUGCCGGGGGUGCCAUCGAGGAGUCGAACAAGUCUGGCCAAAAGAUUCCGCCGGAG